This 60-nucleotide transfer RNA is filed under the name Chattonella subsalsa. It matches the Rfam family "tRNA", at positions 6 to 62 of the family's 71-position model. Rfam says of the family: Transfer RNA (tRNA) molecules are approximately 80 nucleotides in length. Their secondary structure includes four short double-helical elements and three loops (D, anti-codon, and T loops). The record is from RNAcentral. Lineage: Eukaryota; Raphidophyceae; Chattonellales; Chattonellaceae.
CUGUGGCUCAGCCGGUAGAGCGCGCGCUUCAUAAGCGUAAGGUUGCAGGUACGAGUCCUA